This 913-nucleotide ribosomal RNA is filed under the name Trichophyton mentagrophytes. RNAcentral describes it as "LSU rRNA". It matches the Rfam family "Eukaryotic large subunit ribosomal RNA", at positions 38 to 965 of the family's 3401-position model. The record is from RNAcentral. Lineage: Eukaryota; Fungi; Ascomycota; Eurotiomycetes; Onygenales; Arthrodermataceae.
GCAUAUCAAUAAGCGGAGGAAAAGAAAUCCAACAGGGAUUGCCCCAGUAACGGCGAAGUGAAGCGGCAAGAAGCUCAAAUUUGAAAUCUGGCCUCCCCCGGGGGCCCGAGUUGUAAUUUGCAGAGGAUGCUUCGGGUGCGGCCGCCGUCUAAGUUCCUUGGAACAGGACGUCAGAGAGGGUGAGAAUCCCGUCUUGGGCGGGCGGUCCGCGCCCGUGUGAAGCUCCUUCGACGAGUCGAGUUGUUUGGGAAUGCAGCUCUAAGCGGGUGGUAAAUUUCAUCUAAAGCUAAAUAUUGGCCGGAGACCGAUAGCGCACAAGUAGAGUGAUCGAAAGGUUAAAAGCACCUUGAAAAGGGAGUUAAACAGCACGUGAAAUUGUUGAAAGGGAAGCGCUUGCGGCCAGACUCGGGGGCGGGGUUCAGCGGGUGCUCGUCGCCCGUGUAUUCCUCGUCUCCCGGGCCAGCAUCAGUUUCGACGGCCGGUCAAAGGCCCCCGGAAUGUGUCGUCUCUCGGGACGUCUUAUAGCCGGGGGUGCAAUGCGGCCCGUCGGGACUGAGGAACGCGCUCCGGCUCGGAUGCUGGCGUAAUGGCCGUAAGCGGCCCGUCUUGAAACACGGACCAAGGAGUCUAACAUCCACGCGAGUGUUCGGGUGUCAAACCCGUGCGCGCAGUGAAAGCGAACGGAGGUGGGAGCCUUAGGGCGCACCAUCGACCGAUCCUGAAGUCUUCGGAUGGAUUUGAGUAGGAGCGUGGCCGUUGGGACCCGAAAGAUGGUGAACUAUGCCUGAAUAGGGUGAAGCCAGAGGAAACUCUGGUGGAGGCUCGCAGCGGUUCUGACGUGCAAAUCGAUCGUCAAAUUUGGGCAUAGGGGCGAAAGACUAAUCGAACCAUCUAGUAGCUGGUUCCUGCCGAA